Molecule: ribosomal RNA, 461 nt
Filed under: uncultured bacterium
Lineage: Bacteria
Description: bacterial SSU rRNA
Rfam family: Bacterial small subunit ribosomal RNA
Source: RNAcentral
GGACCCGCACAAGCGGUGGAUGAUGUGGAUUAAUUCGAUGCAACGCGAACAACCUUACCUACCCUUGACAUGUCCGGAAGGCUGCUGAAAGGCGGUUGUGCCCGCAAGGGAACCGGAACACAGGUGCUGCAUGGCUGUCGUCAGCUCGUGUCGUGAGAUGUUGGGUUAAGUCCCGCAACGAGCGCAACCCUUGUCCUUAGUUGCUACGCAAGGGCACUCUAAGGAGACUGCCGGUGACAAACCGGAGGAAGGUGGGGAUGACGUCAAGUCCUCAUGGCCCUUAUGGGUAGGGCUUCACACGUCAUACAAUGGUCGGUACAGAGGGUAGCCAACCCGCGAGGGGGAGCCAAUCCCAGAAAGCCGAUCGUAGUCCGGAUCGCAGUCUGCAACUCGACUGCGUGAAGUCGGAAUCGCUAGUAAUCGCGGAUCAGCAUGUCGCGGUGAAUACGUUCCCGGGUCUU